GGCCCUGUCGUCUAGCGGUUUAGGACGCCGCCCCUUCAAGGCGGAGGUCGCCGGUUCGAACCCGGUCAGGGCUACCA
This 77-nucleotide transfer RNA is filed under the name Eggerthellaceae bacterium. RNAcentral describes it as "tRNA-Glu". It matches the Rfam family "tRNA". From Rfam's summary of the family: Transfer RNA (tRNA) molecules are approximately 80 nucleotides in length. Their secondary structure includes four short double-helical elements and three loops (D, anti-codon, and T loops). Further hydrogen bonds mediate the characteristic L-shaped molecular structure. tRNAs have two regions of fundamental functional importance: the anti-codon, which is responsible for specific mRNA codon recognition, and the 3' end, to which the tRNAs corresponding amino acid is attached (by aminoacyl-tRNA synthetases). tRNAs cope with the degeneracy of the genetic code in two manners: having more than one tRNA (with a specific anti-codon) for a particular amino acid; and 'wobble' base-pairing, i.e. permitting non-standard base-pairing at the 3rd anti-codon position. The record is from RNAcentral. Lineage: Bacteria; Bacillati; Actinomycetota; Coriobacteriia; Eggerthellales; Eggerthellaceae.